GACGAACGCUGGCGGCGUGCUUAACACAUGCAAGUCGAACGGAAAGGCCCUGCUUUUGUGGGGUGCUCGAGUGGCGAACGGGUGAGUAACACGUGAGUAACCUGCCCUUGACUUUGGGAUAACUUCAGGAAACUGGGGCUAAUACCGGCUAGGAGCUCCUGCUGCAUGGUGGGGGUUGGAAAGUUUCGGCGGUUGGGGAUGGACUCGCGGCUUAUCAGCUUGUUGGUGGGGUAGUGGCUUACCAAGGCUUUGACGGGUAGCCGGCCUGAGAGGGUGACCGGCCACAGUGGGACUGAGAUACGGCCCAGACUCCUACGGGAGGCAGCAGUGGGGAAUAUUGCACAAUGGGCGGAAGCCUGAUGCAGCAACGCCGCGUGCGGGAUGACGGCCUUCGGGUUGUAAACCGCUUUCGCCUGUGACGAAGCGUGAGUGACGGUAAUGGGUAAAGAAGCACCGGCUAACUACGUG
RNAcentral lists this ribosomal RNA (468 nucleotides) under uncultured bacterium. RNAcentral's name for it is "partial 16S ribosomal RNA". It matches the Rfam family "Bacterial small subunit ribosomal RNA", at positions 28 to 507 of the family's 1533-position model. The record is from RNAcentral.